RNAcentral lists this ribosomal RNA (465 nucleotides) under Nitrosomonas sp. enrichment culture. RNAcentral's name for it is "bacterial SSU rRNA". It matches the Rfam family "Bacterial small subunit ribosomal RNA", at positions 198 to 644 of the family's 1533-position model. Lineage: Bacteria; Pseudomonadati; Pseudomonadota; Betaproteobacteria; Nitrosomonadales; Nitrosomonadaceae. The record is from RNAcentral.
GGAGAAAAGCAGGGGAUCGCAAGACCUUGCGCUAAAGGAGCGGCCGAUGUCUGAUUAGCUAGUUGGUGGGGUAAAGGCUUACCAAGGCAACGAUCAGUAGUUGGUCUGAGAGGACGGCCAACCACACUGGGACUGAGACACGACCCAGACUCCUACGGGAGGCAGCAGUGGGGAAUUUUGGACAAUGGGCGAAAGCCUGAUCCAGCCAUGCCGCGUGAGUGAAGAAGGCCUUCGGGUUGUAAAGCUCUUUUAGUCGGAAAGAAAGAGUUGCAAUGAAUAAUUGUGAUUUAUGACGGUACCGACAGAAAAAGCACCGGCUAACUACGUGCCAGCAGCCGCGGUAAUACGUAGGGUGCGAGCGUUAAUCGGAAUUACUGGGCGUAAAGGGUGCGCAGGCGGUCUUGCAAGUCAGAUGUGAAAGCCCCGGGCUUAACCUGGGAAUUGCGUUUGAAACUACAAAGCUAG